Non-coding RNA from Oryza brachyantha (malo sina), 181 nucleotides. NCBI's taxonomy places the organism in Eukaryota, Viridiplantae, Streptophyta, Magnoliopsida, Poales, Poaceae. The record is from Rfam.
AAUAACCUUAUUUUUCGUUUUUCCGUAUCCAAUGUUUGACUAUUCGUCUUAUUUGAAAAAUUUGUGUAAAAAACUAGUCACGUAUAAAAUACUAUUCAUAUUUUAUCAUCUAGUAAUAAUAAAAAUAUUAAUUAAAAAAAAUUUCAAAUAAGACGAAUGGUCAAACGUUGGACACGAAAAA